Molecule: transfer RNA, 73 nt
Filed under: Heliophilum fasciatum
Lineage: Bacteria; Bacillati; Bacillota; Clostridia; Eubacteriales; Heliobacteriaceae
Rfam family: tRNA
About the family: Transfer RNA (tRNA) molecules are approximately 80 nucleotides in length. Their secondary structure includes four short double-helical elements and three loops (D, anti-codon, and T loops).
Source: Rfam by way of RNAcentral
AGGGGAGUAGCUCAAUUGGUAGAGCGGCGGUCUCCAAAACCGUAGGUUGCGGGUUCGAUCCCUGUCUCCCCUG